This is a long non-coding RNA of Mya arenaria, 305 nucleotides long. RefSeq lists it as uncharacterized. The transcript is spliced from 3 exons. The record is from RefSeq and is a predicted model, not a curated record. NCBI's taxonomy places the organism in Eukaryota, Metazoa, Mollusca, Bivalvia, Myida, Myidae.
UCCUGGAAAGUAUUCACCACUCCAGUCUCCAACCAUGAAGCUUCUCAUUGUUCUCCUUCUGGUCAGCUGCCUGUCCAUGACACUACUACCAGCAACCGUCGAGGCCCAGCACGGCGGAUACUGCCAAUGCAAAUACCGAUGUUCCCGAUGGGAGAGAGACGCGGGGCGCUGUGGAUACCAAAGGAGGUGUUGUCCGAUUUAUAGAGGCUAAUGAGACGGUGAAUGACAAAUCGCAAACAGCUUAAUACAUGUAUCUAUACGAUUCAUGUGUUGUUCGUGGUGAAAAUAAAGUAUCGUUGAAACUA